AACGAACGCUGGCGGCAUGCCUAACACAUGCAAGUCGAACGAGACCUUCGGGCUUAGUGGCGCACGGGUGCGUAACGCGUGGGAACCUGCCCUUAGGUUCGGAAUAACUCCCCGAAAGGGGUGCUAAUACCGGAUAAUGUCUUCGGACCAAAAAAUUAUCGCCUUUGGUUGGGCCCGCGUUGGAUUAGCUAGUUGGUAGGGUAAAAGCCUACCAAGGCGACGAUCCAUAGCUGGUCUGAGAAGAUGAUCAGCCACACUGGGACUGAGACACGGCCCAGACUCCUACGGGAGGCAGCAGUGGGGAAUAUAGGACAAUGGGCGAAAGCCUGAUACAGCAAUGCCGCGUGAGUGAUGAAGGCCUUAGGGUUGUAAAGCUCUUUUAACCGGGAUGAUAAUGACAGUACCGGGAGAAUAAGCGCCGGCUAACUCCGUG
RNAcentral lists this ribosomal RNA (433 nucleotides) under uncultured bacterium. RNAcentral describes it as "partial 16S ribosomal RNA". It matches the Rfam family "Bacterial small subunit ribosomal RNA", at positions 29 to 507 of the family's 1533-position model. The record is from RNAcentral.